AAGGUAAACUGAGGCACAUUAAAAAUUUUUUUUCAAGAGUUUAUUUGAGCAGACAUCAAGUGGAACCAAGUAACGCCAAACUGAAAGUGGUUAGGAGUGUGCCACCAACAAGGGCAAGGGGAAAAGUUUUUAUAAAGAUGCAGAAGCAACACAUCUUGGCUGUAGCUUAUAGUUGCUCUAUUUGAGAAAGCCUCGUUGAUUGUGAUUGGUUGUCCUUAAGUGUUAUUUUCUUGGAUUCAAGUGCAUUGACUUCAGCUUACGAUUUAAUUUGCUUACAGGCUACCACGGAAUUAGGACCACCUUAGUCGAAUGGCCUCCUUGUUUAAUCACUUUAACAAAACCUAAGUACCAGUUUUUAGCUCAAAACACUUCAGAGAGUAAAGAGAACCAGAAGAAAGGGGAUCACUCCUAUGAUACUGUCUCUAUCUAUGGAUUGUCUAGACAGCAGCUAUAAUGACCUGAUCUAAGUAUGGGAAACCAGACUUGGUCACCUCUCGCAGCUAGAAAGAAUACCUUCUAGAGGUUACUCUCACUUCUCAGCUUCCCAUAUAUUAAAAUGACAAGGAGAAGCUGGAGAUAAGGGACUAAGAGUUUAUCCUAAUGAAGAAUAUACCAUGAAUUGAUCAUUAUGAUGAACAAUUAUGAUCAGAUUUGCUGGGAGAGUAUUUUGAACAUAUCCACCACUUCAUUUCUACCUCUCACCUGUCUCCUUUGGAUACGUGGUGGCUGAACACUGUAAUCAAAACAACUGAACUUUAUGUUCACCCUUGAUUAGUACAAAAGCAUUUCACUUUUUACCUCAAACAUUCACACCAUCCUUCAUUUGAAUUCUUUUCUCAACUAACCAGGGAGAAGGUUCUGUUCAUUGGAAUGAUGAAGGAAUUGGAUCUCACACCUAGUGGAAUGAUGAAGGAAUUGGAUCUCACACCUAGUGAAAGUGUCUUGGAUUUAUACAUCAUCAUAACAGAAAUUAUAUUCUCAAGAUUACCCGCUUCCCUUCCUUAAGUGGUAAGGCAUUAUUUUCUAGUAUCCUAAAAGAUAAGCAUGUUACACAGGUUACACAUUUCUACCUAACACUUUGAUAAAUUUCUGCAUAUUGUCUAAUUCUGCAUUUUAUUUUAUGAUAGAAACUUUUGUAUCUCCUUUCAGUUCAGUUAGCAGACCUUGAUUGAAAAUACAAAAAGGGCAAGGCAGUGUGUUCACGAAGAGGUAGUAUGUGGGCAUGGAAACUCUGAGGUCAGGCUAACUUGAAACAAUCUCAGCUCCACUUAUGAACCAUUUGUAAACUGGGAGGCGAAUCAGGCUGGAGUGAGGUGUGUGCUGUGCCUAGGUGUCCUUGGGAACCAGGACACAUGAGAGGCUCUUACAGCUUUCAUGAAAAGUUUAAUGAGACAUUCAUUAACAAAAGUUUAAUGAGACAUUCAUUAACAGCUAACAUAAUAAAUAGGAUCACUUUAAAAUUGGAAUUGCUAUAUUGACCAGAUUAAAGAAGAAUGUUAAUUCUGAUGAUGGCAAAAAGACAAAUAAAAAAAAAAAAGAAUAGGUACUACUGAAUAAAAAAUGGAGGUAUAAUACUCUACAGAAGCUAACUUAUAAUCUGUUGAAUAAAGUCACCUAGAGCCUGGAAAUGCGAGGUAAUAUGAAGCCAAAGGGUUUAGGUAGAAUUAAAAAAAAAAUGUUCUCCAUGUUAUUUGACAAAAAGCAUAGUGCAGCAGAUAUCACUGAGCACUGACUUCUGUCCUCAAGAGACCUGGUUUGAUGAACUGAGUUGCAAAAAGCAGUGCUUCCCCAACACUGGAGUUCUGGUCUCAGUUGCACGCUUCUGAAUUUAUUUCAACUGUGGUGGUGGAAAUCGGGUGAGCUCCUUUCUAUAGGGAAAAUCUGCAUAUAUCAUGCAGAUAUAUCUGCAUAUAUCAAAAGUGAAACCUUCUGGAGAAGCUGCUCAUGGGUAGUAAUUGAAUCCAGUAGUGGGUAAUGCACUUGUGGAGAGGUUAGUGGGUGAAGUGUUGGGAGAGGAUUUUGAAAAUCCUGUAUUUGACUGUAGUAUUGAAGAGAGGAAAAGGGAGGAUACGAAGAAGACAAGCAAGGGCAAGAGCCCAUUCAGGAGGGAGGAGGGAUGUGUCAGCUCAGAUCUCCUGAGACUGAGAAGUCCUUAGGGAGGCUCUGGGAGUAGAGAGAGAGACGAGGAAUGUGAGGCAAGAGGCAGAACACAUGUCAUGUGUUCAGAGCACUUGGUCUGCUCCAGAGAGGAGGAACCUCUGGCAGAAAUAUAUCAGAUGAGAUACCCUGGCUCAUAGAGUCCCAUGUCUUUUUUUUUUUUCAGAAAAAUAAUUUAUUUCUCCAUAUGCUUUAUUUAAAAGCAUCUAGCGAACACCACAUAUUUGAAUUUCCAAACACAUUAUUUUCAUUUUGCCUUCUUGUUUUCUUAUUUUGUGAGUAAGUAACCCACUCUACCCAAAGGUAAAAUACAGAUUUUAUUAUAUAUACAAAAUUAAGUCUAGAGUAUAAGGA
RNAcentral lists this long non-coding RNA (2511 nucleotides) under Canis lupus familiaris (dog). RNAcentral describes it as "lncRNA (ENSCAFG00030003752.1)". Lineage: Eukaryota; Metazoa; Chordata; Mammalia; Carnivora; Canidae. The record is from RNAcentral.